Molecule: ribosomal RNA, 596 nt
Filed under: uncultured Gammaproteobacteria bacterium
Lineage: Bacteria; Pseudomonadati; Pseudomonadota; Gammaproteobacteria
Description: bacterial SSU rRNA
Rfam family: Bacterial small subunit ribosomal RNA
Source: RNAcentral
GGGAGCUCUCCCAUAUGGUCGACCUGCAGGCGGCCGCGAAUUCACUAGUGAUUAGAGUUUGAUCAUGGCUCAGAUUGAACGCUGGCGGCAGGCCUAACACAUGCAAGUCGAGCGGUAGAGAGAAGCUUGCUUCUCUUGAGAGCGGCGGACGGGUGAGUAAUGCCUAGGAAUCUGCCUGGUAGUGGGGGAUAACGUUCGGAAACGGACGCUAAUACCGCAUACGUCCUACGGGAGAAAGCAGGGGACCUUCGGGCCUUGCGCUAUCAGAUGAGCCUAGGUCGGAUUAGCUAGUUGGUGGGGUAAUGGCUCACCAAGGCGACGAUCCGUAACUGGUCUGAGAGGAUGAUCAGUCACACUGGAACUGAGACACGGUCCAGACUCCUACGGGAGGCAGCAGUGGGGAAUAUUGGACAAUGGGCGAAAGCCUGAUCCAGCCAUGCCGCGUGUGUGAAGAAGGUCUUCGGAUUGUAAAGCACUUUAAGUUGGGAGGAAGGGCAGUAAAUUAAUACUUUGCUGUUUUGACGUUACCGACAGAAUAAGCACCGGCUAACUCUGUGCCAGCAGCCGCGGUAAUAAAUCGAAUUCCCGCGGCCGCC